Non-coding RNA from Podarcis lilfordi (Lilford's wall lizard), 72 nucleotides. The record is from the annotation of a GenBank genome assembly. NCBI's taxonomy places the organism in Eukaryota, Metazoa, Chordata, Lepidosauria, Squamata, Lacertidae.
GCACUGUAAGCCAAAUGCUAGAGCAUGAGACUCUUAAUCUCAUGGUUGUGGGUUCGAUCCCCACAUUGGGCA